Molecule: non-coding RNA, 161 nt
Organism: Haemonchus contortus (barber pole worm)
Lineage: Eukaryota; Metazoa; Nematoda; Chromadorea; Rhabditida; Trichostrongylidae
Source: Rfam
AAACUUACCUUGCUGGGAGGUUCUCGCGAUCAACAAGGCGGGGCCUUCAUGGUGAGGCCGUGCAUUGCACUUUAGCACAGGCUGACCCGUGUGGGAACCUCGAGUUGAGGUUAGCCAACAGCUAAAUUUUUGCGUGUGGGGCUGCGUUCGCGCGGCCCUGU